This 446-nucleotide ribosomal RNA is filed under the name uncultured bacterium. RNAcentral describes it as "bacterial SSU rRNA". It matches the Rfam family "Bacterial small subunit ribosomal RNA", at positions 330 to 792 of the family's 1533-position model. The record is from RNAcentral.
UCCAGACUCCUACGGGAGGCAGCAGUCGGGAAUAUUGCACAAUGGAGGAAACUCUGAUGCAGUGACGCCGCGUGCAGGAAGAAGGUUUUAGGAUUGUAAACUGCUUUAGACAGGGAAGAAAAAAGACAGUACCUGUAGAAUAAGCUCCGGCUAACUACGUGCCAGCAGCCGCGGUAAUACGUAGGGAGCAAGCGUUAUCCGGAUUUAUUGGGUGUAAAGGGUGCGUAGACGGGAAUUUAAGUUAGUUGUGAAAUACCUCGGCUUAACUGAGGAACUGCAACUAAAACUGAAUUUCUUGAGUGCUGGAGAGGAAAGUGGAAUUCCUAGUGUAGCGGUGAAAUGCGUAGAUAUUAGGAGGAACACCAGUGGCGAAGGCGACUUUCUGGACAGUAACUGACGUUGAGGCACGAAAGUGUGGGGAGCAAACAGGAUUAGAUACCCUCGUA